Molecule: long non-coding RNA, 5923 nt
Filed under: Daucus carota (carrot)
Lineage: Eukaryota; Viridiplantae; Streptophyta; Magnoliopsida; Apiales; Apiaceae
Description: long non-coding RNA (DCAR_LNC003270)
Source: RNAcentral
CUGCAUCCCCUAAUGCACCCAGGGAGUCCAAAUCUGCUUUGAUACGUACAUUAUUCUCAAGAAAUCCUUGACCACCAACAUACGACGAUGAACUGUAUAUCUGAUAAAAGAGCAAAAUUCUUUAAUCACACGAGCAUCUGCUAAUGUAGUGUUGAAUGCUGAUAUUACUUGCAAGUAGAAAGUGCCGUUUUUUUAGAUUUAUAAUUGGUAUUCUUUCGCAAAGAGUGUAUCUUAUGAACAACUGCCUAAUGACUAGAGAGUUCAUAAUAUAUGGGAUCUGAAGAAUUACUCUGAUUGAUGCCGGCACAAUAUAACAAAUUCCUGCAGUAUCAAUAUACAAUGACAAAGGAAACCUAGAAUCAAUUAAAACCCGUAAAUCUUAAGAUUUCCUUUUCCAUUUGUGGCUUAUUUAUCAUCCCCAAAUCAAUCUUAAUUACCUAGUUGUAAGACUACUUAGUAAUUGAUUGGCACUUAUCAGAAUGUUAACGUAGCACAUUCGCAAAAUUUUCUGAUUAUAAAUGGACUAGAAUAAAACCUUGAUUAAUCAAUAAGCAACGAUAAAUUAUCAUUUGAACUACAGAUUUCAGCGACUAAUCAUAAUAAAUUAAUAAAAUUCAGCAGUCCCAGGCAUUAUUUUAAUAUGUAGUUAUCUAUUUCCUAAAAUAAUGAAUAAAUAUUUUUUAAUAGUCGGUCAAAAAUUAGUCAAUUUGACUUUUCGACAAACAAUGAUAUCUCCAAAAAGCAAGAGAGGACAUGUAAAUUGGGACCGAGGGAGUACCGAUUUGACUUGACCAAACAGCUUGGAAUCAGAGAGCAACUCCUUCAUUUUCGCAGUCCUGGGAUGAUGAUACCACAUACUCCCAUCCAUGAACUGCACACCGUUGGAUCGACAAGCUUCUAAUAUCCGAUCAAGCUGAGUUGCAUCAAGGGCUGUGGGUUUCUCCAGCAACAAAUGCUUCUUCUUUUCAGCAUGUUGGGAUUUUAAUCUCAAACUUGUCAUUUUUAUUUUAAGUUAAUAUUCUGUUUUCUGCAGUAUCUCCAGCUGGAGUAUUAGUGUGAUUUGCUCAGCUGGCUUCUAGCGUUAAUAUAGGAUCGUAUAGAAUAAAACAGUAGUGUUGGAGUCUGUUUAGGAAACUAGAUAAAUCAGGUCCUAGUUUUAUGGCAUUUCUGUCGAAAGUUUUUACAUAUUUGUAUCUUGCAUUGGCACCAGAAUAAAGUAGUUGACAUUGGCAAACAAGUCUGUGUGAUUUUGAUUCUUUCAGUUUAUCAAAAGGCUUUUGUUUUUAUAUAUAAGCUACACUUGGUAUCAGAGCAGGAAGAUUCUAGUGUAUGUCAAAGCAGUCGACGAUGGAGAUGAACAAGCUGAAGAGUAGUGGAUCGAUUGGAUUGAGCUAUCCAAUGUUAGCCAAAGAAAACUACACAGCUUGGUCGAUGAAGAUGAAGGUAUUCAUGCAAGCCCAGGGGGUCUGGUGCGCUGUCGAGCAAACGGAUCCAAAGGCGGCUGUUGAAGAGAAGACUGAUAAGGUUGCCCUGGCUAUGAUUUACCAGGGUAUACCCGAAGAAGUGCUGUUGUCUCUAGCUGAGAAGAAAACGGCGAAAGAGGCCUGGGAAGCGAUCAAAACAUUAUACCAGGGAGCAGAUCGUGUGAAGAAAGCAAGAAUUCAAACCUUGAAGUCAGAGUUCGAGUCAUUGAGUAUGAAAGAAAGUGAUCAACUUGACGAUUUUCACAUGAAACUGAAUGCUCUUGUCACAAACAUAAGAGCCCUGGGGGAAAAAAUGGAGGAGUCAUACGUGGUAAAGAAACUACUUCGGGCUGUCCCUCAAAGGUUCUUACAGAUCACGUCAACAAUGGAGCAGUUCGGAAAUUUAGAGACCAUGUCGAUCGAAGAGGCUAUUGGUUCUCUGAAGGCACAUGAUGAGAGAAUAAGGGGGAAAAUAGAACCAAAGGAAAGCCAGUUGAUGCUAACGGAGGAAGAGUGGAGUAAAAGAGAUAGAGAAGAUAAAAAACUCCUUCUUACCCGGGAAGAAUGGUUAAAGCGGACAAACAAAGGAAGCCAGGAGGGAUCAUCAGGCUACAAGAAUCGAGGAAGUCGUGACAAAAGUAAAAUAAAGUGCUACAACUGCCACAUCUACGGUCACUUCGCAGCAGAGUGUCGAAAACCAAAUCGAGCCAAAGAUCAAUAUCAAGAAGUAAAUAUGGCUGUAGCAGAAGACAACGAACCUGCAUUGUUGUUGGCAAAACAUGAGAAAAAAGAAUCAAAUCCUGUGCAACUUGAUGAAAACAGGGUGACGCUUUCGUUAUUGACAAAAAAUGAAACAAAGGUUAGUGAAACAAAAUUAUGGUAUCUCGACAAUGGAGCAAGCAAUCACAUGACUGGUUUUAGAUCCAAAUUCACUGAGCUGGAUGAGAAAAUAACGGGACAGGUGCGUUUUGGUGAUGGAUCAUCAGUGAAAAUUGAAGGAAAAGGGACGGUUAUGUUUGUAUGUAAAAAUGGAGAGGAGUUUGCUCUGCAUGAAGUGUAUUACAUACCAAGCCUCCAAACAAAUAUUGUCAGUAUUGGACAGCUAUCAGAGGAGGGCAAUAGAGUCGUGAUCAAAGGAGAAUACCUGUGGGUAUUUGAUCAACAAGAAAGACUUCUUAUGAAGGUCGAAAGAUCUCAAAACAGGCUUUACAAGUUGAUGAUUGAAACUGGAAGCAAGAAGUGUUUAAUGAGCAAACAAGAUGAAGUAUCAAGACUGUGGCACUUGCGGCUCGGACAUGUCAAUUAUCAGGCCUUGAAUCUUAUGUCUAAGCACCGGAUGGUGAAUGGAAUGCCAAGAAUAGCCCAGCCUAAGACUGUGUGUGUUGGUUGUCUCAUGUCUAAGCAAACCAGGAAACAAUUUCCUACCAAAGCUAACUACACAGCAAAGAUGGUGCUGGAUUUAAUUCAUGGUGAUUUGUGCGGGCCAAUUUCUCCCCCAACAGCAGGAGGUAACAAAUACUUCUUUUUACUCGUUGAUGAUUACAGUCGAAAGAUGUGGGUCUAUUUUCUAAAAAACAAGGAUGAAGCUCUUAACGCCUUCAAGAAAUUUCUGGCUUUGGUUGAAACUGGGUCUGAGAGGAAGGUGAAAGUGUUUAGAACUGACAGAGGAGGGGAGUUCAGCUCGAAUGAAUUCAAAAACUUUUGUGAAGAGGUUGGAAUAAAGAGGCACUACACAGCCCCGUACACACCUCAACAGAACGGUGUGGUUGAGCGUAGAAAUCGUACGGUAGUUGAAAUGGGAAGAAGUUGUUUGAAAGAAAUGAACAUGCCAUCGAUAAUGUGGGGAGAAGCAAUCAGACACUCGGUGUAUCUCUUGAACCGACUGCCUACCCGUGCAUUAUCCGGGAAAACCCCAUAUGAGGUGUGGACUGGGAACAAACCUCACGUUGGCCACAUAAGAGUUUUUGGUUGUUUAAGUCAUAUGAAAAUUCCUAGCUGUCAGACAUCAAAGCUAGACGAUCGUAGCAGACAAGUAAUCAACCUGGGAAAGGAACCAGGCACAAAAGCAUAUCGACUCCUGGACCCUACGGAAAAUAAAAUACUUGUUAGUAGAGAUGUCACUUUUGAAGAGGAAAAGGCAUGGCCCUGGAAUCAGUCUAAAGGUGAAGCUAAUGAACAGACGCCACAGUUUGCAGUUCUGGAGAGCCAAGAGAGUGAUGGUGAAAAUCAGACGAGCACCGAAGGAACAUAUGCAACUGAUAAUGAUAUGUCACAGAACCUUGCUACACCAGAAGCACGGUCACAAGGGUUGAGGCUAAGUUCUGAGAAUUAUGACGACAGUACAGAACCCAGACAUACCAGAAAAUUGACAGACAUCUACAAUGACACAGAAGAAGUCGAGUUGGAUGAGGAGUUGUAUCUCAUGGGUGUCGAGGAACCUGCAAGCUUCAGACAGGCUGUGGAAGAUCGAGAGUGGAGAAAGGCUAUGGAGAAAGAAAUUGAGUCGAUUGAGAAAAAUAACACGUGGGAGUUGUCUACUCUGCCAACCGGACAAAAGGUCAUAGGUUUGAAAUGGAUUUUUAAGCUGAAGAAGGAUGCAGACGGAAGAAUUGUGAAACAUAAAGCGAGACUUGUCGCUAAAGGGUAUGUUCAAGAGCAUGGGGUAGAUUUUGAAGAGAUUUUCGCUCCUGUUACUCGGCUAGAAACUGUUCGUUUAUUAUUGGCUCUGUCAGCUAAAAACAACUGGGAAGUCCAUCACUUGGACGUGAAAACAGCGUUUCUCAACGGGGAAUUAAAAGAGGAUGUAUAUGUUGCUCAACCAGAAGGUUUCGAGAAGGUGGGAAAGGAACAUCUAGUUUACAAACUGAUAAAGGCCUUAUACGGAUUGCGUCAAGCCCCUCGAGCCUGGUAUGCAAAACUGAAUUCAUGUUUAGAAAAUCUUGGGUUUACCAAGUGUCCAUAUGAACAUGCGGUGUACACGAGAAAGGAAGGAGGUGAGACCUUGAUCAUAGCUGUCUACGUAGAUGAUUUGUUGGUCACAGGCUCUGACAAAGAUUUGAUCGAAAUGUUUAAAGAACAAAUGAGUAGUAAUUUUGAGAUGAGCAAUCUUGGCAGGUUGAGUUACUAUCUGGGGAUUGAGGUGAAACAAUCAGAAGGAUAUAUAGAACUGAAACAAACUGGGUAUGCUCGGAAAAUUCUCGAGAAAGCUGGAAUGAAUGAUUGUAACCCUGCAAAAUACCCGAUGGAUCCAAAGGAGCUGUUAACCAAGGACGAAGGGGGGACAGCAGUAGACGCUACUCAGUAUAAAAGCUUAGUCGGAGGGCUGCGUUAUUUGGUCCACACACGACCGGAUAUAGCCUACUCGGUAGGAGUUGUGAGCCGUUUCAUGGAACGACCAACAAAGUUACAUGUGAAUGCUGUGAAACGAAUUCUGAGGUAUGUCAAGGGUACUUUACAGUUUGGUUUGACAUAUUCCAAGCAAGGAGGAAAUAAUGUUUUGCUCGGUUACUCAGAUAGUGACUUGGGAGGAAAUCUGGAUGAUAGAAAAAGCACAGGUGGAGUAGUAUUCUAUUUGAAUGAAAGUCUCAUUACAUGGGUCUCGCAGAAGCAGCGCUGUGUAGCAUUAUCAUCUUGUGAAGCGGAGUUCAUGGCUGCCACAUCCGCUGCUUGUCAAGGAAUUUGGUUACGAAAUGUUUUAGCUCAGAUAACUGGAGAAAGCAUUGGUCCAGUAACAUUGUGCAUUGACAACCGAUCAGCCAUUGAUCUAGCAAAGAAUCCUGUGUUUCACGGAAGAAGUAAGCAUAUUGAUAUACGGUUCCAUUUUAUUCGAGAAUGCGUGGAACGAGGAGAGGUCAUUCUGAAGCAUGUUCCUAGUCAUGAACAAAGGGCAGAUGUAUUGACAAAGGCUCUGACGACAAUCAAAUUUGAGAAGCUGCGGAGUUUGCUAGGUGUUGAGAAUCUCACAAGACAAGUUUGAGCUUAAGGGGGAAUCUGUUGGGAUUUUAAUCUCAAACUUGUCAUUUUUAUUUUAAGUUAAUAUUCUGUUUUCUGCAGUAUCUCCAGCUGGAGUAUUAGUGUGAUUUGCUCAGCUGGCUUCUAGCGUUAAUAUAGGAUCGUAUAGAAUAAAACAGUAGUGUUGGAGUCUGUUUAGGAAACUAGAUAAAUCAGGUCCUAGUUUUAUGGCAUUUCUGUCGAAAGUUUUUACAUAUUUGUAUCUUGCAUUGGCACCAGAAUAAAGUAGUUGACAUUGGCAAACAAGUCUGUGUGAUUUUGAUUCUUUCAGUUUAUCAAAAGGCUUUUGUUUUUAUAUAUAAGCUACACUGCAGCCAGAACAGCCCAUUCCAAGUGAAGACUUGUGGGCAGGGGCAUAUAAACAGCGUCCACUAAAGGGUCAUCCAGCAAUUCGCUGUAGCUUCCAUAGAUCACCACUUGUUGGUCUGAGUAGCCAUUUUCGGUGGCAA